CAGUCGUACCGGUGGGUAAUCAGCCUUUCGGCGAGAUUAUGUGGAGCGUGAGGAGUUAAACGCCCUCAUGCCUGCAUAUUCGUGUUCUUUGGGUGUACUUAUCCGCAUGGUAGGUUAACAUCAAUUUCGAACGUUAUAAAAUGGUUGGAGGAAUGUGGCUUCGAUCUCGUAUUGAAGUGUUAUAGCCUCCGGCAGAUGUGAUGAUCGGGAUUGAGGAUUGCAACGGAUACCCUUUGGGGCUACCCGUCUGAUCUCUGAAAGUUGCUCUGGUGCCGAAAGCUCGCUUACGGUCAUCAAAGUUGACGUUCAACAGGUUAGAACGGGAUAAA
Molecule: ribosomal RNA, 329 nt
Filed under: uncultured Glomeromycotina
Lineage: Eukaryota; Fungi; Glomeromycota
Description: LSU rRNA
Source: RNAcentral